Molecule: long non-coding RNA, 248 nt
Filed under: Elaeis guineensis (African oil palm)
Lineage: Eukaryota; Viridiplantae; Streptophyta; Magnoliopsida; Arecales; Arecaceae
Description: long non-coding RNA (EGUI_LNC033047)
Source: RNAcentral
CUCAUUUUAUUUAGUACCUAAAAAAGUCUUUGGGAUACUAUUUUUACCUCCUGGAGGAUCAUAAUGUGAUUGUGAGCCGGCAUGCCAAAUUUUUGGAAAGAGAUUUUAUCUAGGAUAGAGGUAGUGGGAGGAAAAUUCAACUCGAAGAGAGUGUCUCUGAAGAGCAAUGAGUAAUAGAGCCUGUGGAACCCAUUCCACCUCGUAGAUCCAGUAGGAUCAUACGUCCUUUAGAAAGAUAUAUGGGUAUG